Non-coding RNA from Megalopta genalis, 656 nucleotides. Lineage: Eukaryota; Metazoa; Arthropoda; Insecta; Hymenoptera; Halictidae. The record is from RefSeq and is a predicted model, not a curated record.
UCAUCGAUCUGCGCAGCUUCCUCAUCUUCUCCGUAUGUCGUAAUUGCAGGAACAAGCAGGAGUUCGAGUACCAGUUGUAGCUGGCCAUAACUGAAACGGUGAGGUAUGCGUUAUUUAGGUUAUCCGAGAUCGGUGUAUCGCAAUCGAUUCGUGCAUUGCUCUUAGGCGAACCGUCUCGAUGAUGAGACGCGAUCGAUUAAGAUUGCUGAUCGAUAGUCCGCUGAAACGAACUUGUUCGUUGCAAUAAGCAGACCGCGGAUCAUUAUGCGAAAUAUAUAUUAGGUUAUGUGAUAAGUCCGUUCGCGGACGCCUACGAAAAGACAAGGCGAAUUACGCGAAUUCAAAGCGAUAGUUCUGAUGAAUUUUGAAAUAUGUUCUCGCGGGACUAUUUCCUUGCAACUUAGCUUAAACGGAAGCUGAAAGUGUCUACUUUAAGACAGGUUAGAUUAUAUUGCAAUAGAACGACGUGAUCAUUUUGAACAAUUAAAACGAAUCGAUCUCUGACAUUAUAGGGUUUGCAAGAUUUAAAAGACAGGUUAGAUUAUAUUGCAAUAGAACGACGUGAUCGUUUUCAACAAUUAAAAGGAAUCGAUCUCUGACAUUAUGGGGUUUGCAAGAUUUAAAACACAGGUUAGAUUAUAUUGCAAUAGAACGAC